Molecule: transfer RNA, 105 nt
Filed under: Escovopsis weberi
Lineage: Eukaryota; Fungi; Ascomycota; Sordariomycetes; Hypocreales; Hypocreaceae
Rfam family: tRNA
About the family: Transfer RNA (tRNA) molecules are approximately 80 nucleotides in length. Their secondary structure includes four short double-helical elements and three loops (D, anti-codon, and T loops). Further hydrogen bonds mediate the characteristic L-shaped molecular structure. tRNAs have two regions of fundamental functional importance: the anti-codon, which is responsible for specific mRNA codon recognition, and the 3' end, to which the tRNAs corresponding amino acid is attached (by aminoacyl-tRNA synthetases). tRNAs cope with the degeneracy of the genetic code in two manners: having more than one tRNA (with a specific anti-codon) for a particular amino acid; and 'wobble' base-pairing, i.e. permitting non-standard base-pairing at the 3rd anti-codon position.
Source: Rfam by way of RNAcentral
GGACUGGUAGCUCAGUGGUAGAGCGAGAGAUUGCAGCCUUCGUGGGUGACUCUCGCGGUAGUAGUAAUUAUCUCUAGGUCGCGAUUUCGAUUAUCGCCCGGUCCU